UUGGCAACAGCUCUGCAAAAAAGGAUACAAUGAUCUAUCUUUGGGAAAAUUACAAAUAUGAUAGAAAAUCAAACAUGCAUUAAAAUAAACAACAAUUAAAGGAAAAAAAAAAAUUUGUACACCAAAUGAAUACACGAAGAAUUUAAUAAAAAUUAGAGAGGAUAGAAUUGGCAAGUCAGGAAGGUUAUGAAGUUAUCUGUCACCAUAACUAAGAUAAGCUUUGUAUCAUAUUCGAAACUCAAUAAAAAAAAAAAAA
This 256-nucleotide unclassified non-coding RNA is filed under the name Hevea brasiliensis (rubber tree). Lineage: Eukaryota; Viridiplantae; Streptophyta; Magnoliopsida; Malpighiales; Euphorbiaceae. The record is from RNAcentral.